UACGUAGGUGGCAAGCGUUGUCCGGAUUUACUGGGCGUAAAGGGAGCGUAGGCGGAUACUUAAGUGGGAUGUGAGAUACCUGGGCUUAACUUGGGUGCUGCAUUCCAAACUGGGUGUCUAGAGUGUUGGAGAGGAAAGUGGAAUUCCUAGUGUAGCGGUGAAAUGCGUAGAGAUUAGGAAGAACACCAGUGGCGAAGGCGACCUUCUGGACAAUAACUGACGCUGAGGCUCGAAAGCGUGGGGAGCAAACAGGAUUAGAUACCCUGGUAGUCCACGCCGUAAACGAUGGGUACUAGGUGUAGGGGGGAUCGACUCCCCCUGUGCCGCCGUUAACACAAUAAGUACCCCGCCUGGGGAGUACGGUCGCAAGAUUAAA
RNAcentral lists this ribosomal RNA (376 nucleotides) under uncultured bacterium. RNAcentral's name for it is "bacterial SSU rRNA". It matches the Rfam family "Bacterial small subunit ribosomal RNA", at positions 524 to 898 of the family's 1533-position model. The record is from RNAcentral.